GAUGAACGCUAGCUACAGGCUUAACACAUGCAAGUCGAGGGGAAACGAUAUUGGAAGCUUGCUUCCGAUAGGCGUCGACCGGCGCACGGGUGAGUAACGCGUAUCCAACCUGCCCACCACUUGGGGAUAACCUUGCGAAAGUAAGUCUAAUACCCAAUGAUAUCUCUAGAAGACAUCUGAAGGAGAUUAAAGAUUUAUCGGUGAUGGAUGGGGAUGCGUCUGAUUAGCUUGUUGGCGGGGUAACGGCACACCAAGGCGACGAUCAGUAGGGGUUCUGAGAGGAAGGUCCCCCACAUUGGAACUGAGAUACGGUCCAAACUCCUACGGGAGGCAGCAGUGAGGAAUAUUGGUCAAUGGGCGAGAGCCUGAACCAGCCAAGUAGCGUGCAGGAUGACGGCCCUAUGGGUUGUAAACUGCUUUUAUAAGGGAAUAAAGUGAGCCUCGUGAGGCUUUUUGCAUGUACCUUAUGAAUAAGGACCGGCUAAUUCCGUGCCAGCCGCCGCAGUAA
This 508-nucleotide ribosomal RNA is filed under the name uncultured bacterium. RNAcentral's name for it is "partial 16S ribosomal RNA". It matches the Rfam family "Bacterial small subunit ribosomal RNA", at positions 28 to 523 of the family's 1533-position model. The record is from RNAcentral.